CAGUAGCCACGGGAAUACGGAGGGUGCAAGCGUUAAUCGGAAUUACUGGGCGUAAAGCGUGCGUAGGCGGUUCGUUAAGUCUGUUGUGAAAGCCCCGGGCUCAACCUGGGAAUGGCAAUGGAUACUGGCGAGCUAGAGUGUGUCAGAGGAUGGUGGAAUUCCCGGUGUAGCGGUGAAAUGCGUAGAGAUCGGGAGGAACAUCAGUGGCGAAGGCGGCCAUCUGGGACAACACUGACGCUGAGGCACGAAAGCGUGGGGAACAAACAGGAUUAGAUACCCCGGUAGUCCCUGUCUCUUAUAA
RNAcentral lists this ribosomal RNA (301 nucleotides) under uncultured bacterium. RNAcentral's name for it is "partial 16S ribosomal RNA". It matches the Rfam family "Bacterial small subunit ribosomal RNA", at positions 509 to 809 of the family's 1533-position model. The record is from RNAcentral.